RNAcentral lists this unclassified non-coding RNA (4250 nucleotides) under Drosophila erecta. Its description in RNAcentral is "GG17812". Lineage: Eukaryota; Metazoa; Arthropoda; Insecta; Diptera; Drosophilidae. The record is from RNAcentral.
AUCCCCCAUUGCAACGCCAAGGACUCCACUUACGCGGUAUCACCAUGCUGAUCAAGGAGUACCGCAUUCCGUUGCCCCUCACCGUCGAGGAGUACCGGAUCGCCCAGCUCUACAUGAUUGCGAAAAAGAGUCGCGAGGAGAGUCAUGGCGAGGGCAGUGGCGUUGAGAUAAUCAUCAAUGAGCCGUAUAAGGAUGGACCCGGCGGAAAUGGUCAAUACACAAAGAAGAUCUAUCACGUGGGCAAUCAUCUGCCUGGUUGGAUCAAAAGUCUCUUGCCGAAAAGCGCUUUAACCGUGGAGGAGGAGGCAUGGAAUGCCUAUCCGUAUACCAGGACUCGCUACACCUGUCCGUUUGUGGAGAAGUUCUCGCUGGACAUUGAGACAUACUAUUAUCCGGACAAUGGCUAUCAGGACAAUGUCUUUCAGCUGUCCGGAAGCGAUCUGCGUAAUCGCAUCGUGGACGUGAUUGACAUUGUGAAGGACCAGCUGUGGGGCGGCGACUAUGUAAAGGAGGAGGAUCCCAAGCACUUUGUGUCGGACAAGACGGGCCGUGGACCCUUGGGCGAGGACUGGCUGGAGGAGUAUUGGCGGGAAGUGAAGGGCAAAAAGCAGCCAACACCGCGCAACAUGUCCCUGAUGACCGCCUACAAGAUCUGCCGCGUGGAGUUCCGCUACUGGGGCAUGCAGACCAAGCUGGAGAAGUUCAUCCACGACGUGGCGCUGCGCAAGAUGAUGCUGCGUGCCCAUCGUCAGGCGUGGGCAUGGCAGGACGAAUGGUUCGGCUUGACCAUCGAGGAUAUCCGCGAACUGGAGCGACAGACGCAGCUGGCCCUGGCCAAAAAGAUGGGCGGCGGCGAGGAGUGCAGCGACGACAGCAUCUCGGAGCCGUACGUCAGCACGGCGGCCACCGCCGCCUCCACAACGGGCAGCGAGCGAAAGAAGUCCGCUCCGGCUGUACCGCCGAUUGUCACCCAGCAGCCGCCGAGCGCCGAGGCCAGUUCGGAUGAGGAGGGCGAGGAGGAGGAUGACGACGAGGACGAGAACGAUGCCAUUGGCACGGGCGUGGAUCUGUCCGCCAACCAAGGCGGAUCCGCGCAGCGCUCGCGCUCCCAAAGUAUUCAGAUGGCCCAGAAGGGCAAGUUUGGGUCAAAGGGCGCCCUUCACUCGCCGGUGGGAUCUGCCCACAGCUUUGAUCUCCAGUCCAAAAAGCCGCAUGCAAAGACAGCGCAACGCAGACAUGUGGCAAACUGGCGUAUGGAGCGAUUGGAAGUGGACUCCAAAUCCAAUUCGGAUGAGGAAUUCUUUGAUUGCCUAGACACCAAUGAGACGAACUCGCUGGCCAAGUGGAGCUCGCUGGAGCUGCUGGGCGAGGGCGACGACAGUCCGCCGCCACAUGGCGGACCCUCUAGUUCAGCAUCCGUGGGUGGGCGGGGCAACUCGCGGCAAGAGGACAGCAUAUUCAAUCAGGACUUCUUGAUGCGCGUGGCCUCGGAGCGCGGUAACAAGCGCCAGUUACGCUCCUCGGCCAGCGUGGAUCGCAGCCACGAUUCGUCACCGCCGGGAUCACCGAGCACGCCGUCUUGCCCCACAACCAUUCUGAUCCUGGUGGUCCAUGCGGGCAGCGUUCUGGAUGCGGCUAGCGAGCUGACCGCCAAGAAAUCCGAUGUGACCACUUUCCGUGGCUCCUUCGAGGCGGUGAUGCGGCAGCACUAUCCCAGCCUUCUCACUCAUGUGACCAUCAAAAUGGUGCCGUGCCCCUCAAUUUGCACCGACGCCUUGGGCAUUCUCUCCAGCCUGAGUCCGUACUCCUUUGAUGCAUCGCCCUCGGCGGCGGAUAUACCGAAUAUAGCCGAUGUCCCUAUUGGAGCCAUACCGCUGUUAUCCGUUGCAUCGCCAGAAUUCCACGAGACGGUCAACAAGACGGUUGCCGCUGCCAAUAUUGUCUACCAUGAGUUUUUGAAAUCGGAGGAGGGACACGGAUUCUCCGGCCAGAUUGUCAUGCUGGGCGAUUCGAUGGGCUCGCUGCUGGCGUACGAGGCUCUCUGCCGAUCAAAUGGUAGCCAACCGGGCACGGCUUCGGGCGCCUCGAAUUCCGGUGGAGAUGCAGCCACAAAUAUGAAUACCCACAAUCCGUUGAGCGCUCGAAAUUCGAGGUUGGACGACGAUGAGCGUUUCAUCGAAGCCGAUCUGGAUGCCAAGCGUUUGCUGGUGGCGCCAUCGCCACGUAGACGCCGUUCCAGCUCCUCCAGCGAUUCGCGGGCCACCAAAUUGGACUUCGAGGUCUGUGAUUUCUUCAUGUUCGGAUCGCCGCUGUCCGUGGUACUUGCUGCAAGGAAACUUCACGAUGCCAAAGCCGCCCUGCCGCGGCCCAACUGCCACCAGGUCUACAAUCUGUUCCAUCCAACCGAUCCUAUCGCCUCGCGCCUGGAGCCGCUACUCAGCGCCCGGUUUUCUAUAUUGGCGCCCGUCAAUGUGCCACGGUACGCCAAGUACCCGCUGGGAAAUGGUCAGCCAUUGCAUUUAUUGGAGGUCAUUCAGUCGCAUCCGCAGCACUUCAACGAUGGCAACAACCUAUUGGCUGGUCGCCGUUUGUCGGACGCAUCGAUGCAGAGCACGAUAUCGGGUCUGAUUGAGAAUGUCUCGCUUAGUACGAUCCAUGCCCUGCAAAACAAAUGGUGGGGCACAAAGCGCUUGGAUUUCGCUUUAUAUUGCCCGGAGGGAUUGAGCAACUUCCCGGCUCACGCCUUGCCGCACCUCUUCCACGCCAGCUACUGGGAGAGUCCGGAUGUGAUUGCCUUCAUCCUUCGGCAGAUUGGCAAAUUCGAGGGCAUACCCUUUGUGGGCUCCAACGAUGACAAGGACAAUGCCUCCUUCCAUCCGGGACAGCCGAGGGAGAAGUGGAUCAAGAAACGCACCUCGGUGAAGCUGAAAAAUGUGGCCGCCAAUCAUCGGGCCAACGAUGUGAUCGUGCAGGAGGGCAGGGAGCAGCGAUUGAAUGCGAGAUUUAUGUACGGACCCCUAGACAUGAUCACCCUGCACGGUGAGAAGGUGGAUGUGCACAUUAUGAAGGAUCCGCCGGCGGGCGAGUGGACAUUCCUCAGCACCGAGGUGACGGACAAGAACGGUCGCAUCUCGUACAGCAUUCCGGAUCAGGUAUCCCUUGGCUAUGGCAUAUACCCGGUAAAGAUGGUGGUGCGUGGCGAUCACACCUCGGUCGAUUGCUAUAUGGCGGUGGUUCCGCCGUUGACCGAAUGCGUGGUCUUCAGCAUUGAUGGCUCCUUCACCGCUUCCAUGUCGGUGACGGGCAGGGAUCCCAAGGUACGUGCCGGAGCUGUUGAUGUCUGCCGCCACUGGCAGGAGCUGGGCUACCUGCUCAUCUACAUCACCGGACGACCGGAUAUGCAGCAGCAACGCGUGGUGUCCUGGCUGAGCCAGCACAACUUCCCGCAUGGCCUGAUCUCGUUCGCCGACGGCCUGUCCACCGAUCCAUUGGGCCACAAGACGGCCUAUCUCAACAAUCUUGUGCAGAACCAUGGAAUCUCAAUUACCGCCGCCUACGGCAGCAGCAAGGACAUUAGUGUCUACACGAAUGUUGGCAUGCGAACCGAUCAAAUAUUCAUCGUGGGCAAGGUUGGCAAGAAGCUGCAGUCCAAUGCCACCGUGCUUAGCGAUGGCUAUGCCGCCCACUUGGCCGGUUUGCAGGCUGUGGGUGGUUCGCGUCCGGCGAAGGGCAAUGCACGCAUGGUCAUUCCCCGUGGAUGCUUCAAUCUUCCCGGCCAGACCGCGAAUCCGCGCCGCAGAAGCAACGAGACGGGACUCUCAUCACCCAUACGCAGUGGUUACCUGAAGCGCAAGACCUACCUGAGCCACCACUAGAGCAGCAGAGAUGCAGAUGCAGCUAUAUAGAUCGAUCCAUCAGAUAGAAGUGAAACCAAUGUACUCAGAAAACCCCAAUAGAAAUCCCCUCGAAAUAGCGAAAAACAUGUAUAGAGCCAAUGGACAACAAGACCGAUGCCUCCAUAUGCCACAUCUGUGUAUAUACCAUAUAAAUAUAUAUAUUUAUAUACUAUGCGCGAUAUAAUGAAAGUUAAUGGUGUAAUAUAUACAUAUAUAUAUCGAAUACCAAAUUUGCAAAUGAGUAAAAAACAAUUGUACAACAUUUAACGAAAGUCAAAUGUGUCACGCGGUACCUGGAAAGAAAGACUGUUUCCUCCUGUUGUUUGAUGGUUUUUCAAACCACUUAAAAAGCAU